UACGGGGGGAGCAAGCGUUGUUCGGAUUUACUGGGCGUAAAGGGCGCGUAGGCGGCCAGCACAAGUCAGUUGUGAAAUCUCCGGGCUUAACUCGGAAAGGUCAACUGAUACUGUGCGGCUAGAGUGCAGAAGGGGCAACUGGAAUUCUCGGUGUAGCGGUGAAAUGCGUAGAUAUCGAGAGGAGCACCUGCGGCGAAGGCGGGUUGCUGGGCUGACACUGACGCUGAUGCGCGAAAGCCAGGGGAGCGAACGGG
This 254-nucleotide ribosomal RNA is filed under the name uncultured bacterium. RNAcentral describes it as "partial 16S ribosomal RNA". It matches the Rfam family "Bacterial small subunit ribosomal RNA", at positions 524 to 776 of the family's 1533-position model. The record is from RNAcentral.